This 109-nucleotide ribosomal RNA is filed under the name Enterobacter asburiae. RNAcentral's name for it is "partial 23S ribosomal RNA". It matches the Rfam family "Bacterial large subunit ribosomal RNA", at positions 2814 to 2925 of the family's 2925-position model. The record is from RNAcentral. Lineage: Bacteria; Pseudomonadati; Pseudomonadota; Gammaproteobacteria; Enterobacterales; Enterobacteriaceae.
CUUGAGAGUCCUGAAGGAACGUUGAAGACGACGACGUUGAUAGGUCGGGUGUGUAAGCGCAGCGAUGCGUUGAGCUAACCGAUACUAAUGAACCGUGAGGCUUAACCUU